This is a small nucleolar RNA of Rhea pennata, 135 nucleotides long. RefSeq annotates it as small nucleolar RNA SNORA15. NCBI's taxonomy places the organism in Eukaryota, Metazoa, Chordata, Aves, Rheiformes, Rheidae. The record is from RefSeq and is a predicted model, not a curated record. The transcript has a single exon.
GCAUGGACGAAUUCUGCAUUAGCUUUCCACAGUAGCUAAUGCAGUCAGACACUGUGCAAGAACAUACUCCCUUUUCACACUCUGGUUGGUAUGCUUUUGGAUGAAAGUGGGCAUGCCUGUGGAAGUGGGAUACAU